CGACCGGCGCACGGGUGAGUAACGCGUAUGCAACCUGCCCGUUUCAGCGGGAUAACCCGGAGAAAUCCGGCCUAAUACCGCAUGUGGCCGAGGGGAGGCAUCUUCUUUCGGCCAAAGGAGGCGACUCCGGAGACGGAUAGGCAUGCGUGACAUUAGCUAGUUGGCGGGGUAACGGCCCACCAAGGCGACGAUGUCUAGGGGUUCUGAGAGGAAGGUCCCCCACACUGGUACUGAGACACGGACCAGACUCCUACGGAAGGCAGCAG
RNAcentral lists this ribosomal RNA (266 nucleotides) under uncultured bacterium. RNAcentral's name for it is "partial 16S ribosomal RNA". It matches the Rfam family "Bacterial small subunit ribosomal RNA", at positions 92 to 354 of the family's 1533-position model. The record is from RNAcentral.